This 106-nucleotide ribosomal RNA is filed under the name uncultured bacterium. RNAcentral's name for it is "partial 16S ribosomal RNA". It matches the Rfam family "Bacterial small subunit ribosomal RNA", at positions 1379 to 1482 of the family's 1533-position model. The record is from RNAcentral.
CCUUGUACACACCGCCCGUCACACCAUGGGAGUUGGUUCUACCUUAAGUCGGUGUGCUAACCCGCAAGGGAGGCAGCCGCCCACGGUAGGGUCAGCGACUGGGGUG